UACGAAGGUCCCGAGCGUUGUUCGGAAUCACUGGGCGUAAAGGGAGCGUAGGCGGCGUGGCAAGUCAGAUGUGAAAUCCCGGGGCUCAACCCCGGAACUGCAUCCGAUACUGCCAUGCUAGAGGAUUGGAGAGGUAGCUGGAAUUCUUGGUGUAGCAGUGAAAUGCGUGGAUAUCAAGAGGAACACUCGUGGCGAAAGCGAGCUACUGGACAACUCCUGACGCUGAGGCUCGAAGGCCGGGGGAGCGAAGGGG
Molecule: ribosomal RNA, 253 nt
Filed under: uncultured bacterium
Lineage: Bacteria
Description: partial 16S ribosomal RNA
Rfam family: Bacterial small subunit ribosomal RNA
Source: RNAcentral